Molecule: long non-coding RNA, 1755 nt
Organism: Zonotrichia albicollis (white-throated sparrow)
Lineage: Eukaryota; Metazoa; Chordata; Aves; Passeriformes; Passerellidae
Source: Ensembl
CCUGGUGAGAAAAUCCAAUCUGUUCUUCCGAAACGAGCUCUGUCACAGUCUCUGCCAGUUCUGCUGCAGCUCCUCCUGGCAGUAAUUAGAUCAUUUGUCUCAUCUGGAGAGCUCAGCCUGCUGCACUUCACACAGUAGUGCUGAGUCCCAGAGCUCGUGUUUGAACAGAGCUGACCAAGUGUAAACCCGGAAGGGAUGUCAGGAUCCUUGUUCUGGGCUUCCUCCUUAGCCUUAAACGUUUCUAUUCCUUCAUGAACUUUCAGCCUUUACAAAUCUGCAGGGCACAACCAGGAGGGAGUGAAAGGCUGUGAGAAACCGAAUUCAGUUACAAAUGCUGCAGCAAGAAAGUGGGGAACUGCGAAGUUCAAGCGCCUUAAUGAAAUUUCAGAAUCAUGCAGCUGCCUAACACCUCUCCGGCCCUCUUGGAGGCAGACACACUCCUUCUGGAGCCAGCUACACAGAAGGUCUAAUCAAAUGGCUUAAUGGAUUCCCAUGGAGAGAAGGAAGUAGAUUACUGUAGACCACUGGACAGACAUGGCCUUACAGCACUUUCAGCAAUGUGGUGCACAAUAAUCAGAAAAGAACUGUGCUGCAGUUGUCCUGUUAUUUCAGAAACCUUUCUGAAUCCCUCUUUUGAUGACAGGCUAAUGAUAUGUGAACAGAGAGCUGAGAACAUCACGUGCUGCAGUAUACAGAAAGAUACUGCCCAACCCUCAAGCUUCGUUUUGUCCCUUUUCUCAAAAACAGACACAUGAUUCCCCUUUACCAUUUCUUUGUUUUCAAGCUACCAAAUUAACACAAAUUUAUUUUUAAGGCAAUUUUCCCUUCCAUUCAUAAUAACUCAGUGGGAACAUUAUCAACACCCAGUGCUUUAUUGUUCCUGGGUGUUCUGGUCAGCUCUUCGUUCUUCUAGAAAUGGCUCAGCUGUCUGGAAAAUGCUUUACUGGAUAAAAUACUCCCUCCAUCUUUCUGUAAUUACAUUAUUUUAACUAAGUCUUCCAUUUUUGUCCCUUAUCUGACCUAUGCACUGUUCUCGUCCUUGUCUUAAAUGCUGAUAUCCCAGGAAAAUGGUCUGAAGCUAUCUUAUAAUGCUGCCACUUCUACUGCACAGAGCCCUUUUUGUGCUGUACUAUCUUGCUGCUGAAUCCUUUGCAUUACCAAAGGACUUAGGGAAGUCACAAAAAUCAUCACCACACAUUGCUUUCUUACAGUCCCCAUCAAAAACUUUUUGUUUGUUUUCUUAGUUUUAUAUUUUUCUUCAUUUUAUUUUUAUUUUUUCUCCUACUCUUUUUUUGACCCCAAGUGUUUUCAAGCUGGUAUCAAAUUGUUCCACAAUGAUCAAGUGCGUUCCCAUCCGUACACUUGGUAUCCUCUGACAAGUUCACAUGGUAGGAGUUCUAAAUGCGGAUAUAAAAUAUCCACCUCUUUCAGUGCUGCUGCAUUUCUUCCCUUGCUAUUUUACAUAUUUUAACCCUGUCUGCACAACGAUGCCAAGAGUUUUUCACACAUUCCACCAGCUCUGCCAGCAUUUAUGGGCACUCAGAAACUAAGGAUAUGGCAUAAUUCCCACUCUGAAUCACAAAACACCAUGAGCUUCCUUACAGAAUUUUAUUAUAAAAUAUACAAAACAACGUGUUUCUUCAUACUUCUUGAAGAGUGAUGAAAGUAAUAACCACGAAGUACACAACUUUGAAAAUUUCAGCCCAAGUCAAACAAUUUUAGUAAAAAAAAUUCUCUAGAUUAUAAACUUUCUUA